RNAcentral lists this ribosomal RNA (460 nucleotides) under uncultured bacterium. RNAcentral describes it as "partial 16S ribosomal RNA". It matches the Rfam family "Bacterial small subunit ribosomal RNA", at positions 338 to 795 of the family's 1533-position model. The record is from RNAcentral.
CCUACGGGCGGCAGCAGUGAGGAAUAUUGGUCAAUGGACGAGAGUCUGAACCAGCCAAGUAGCGUGAAGGAUGACUGCCCUAUGGGUUGUAAACUUCUUUUAUAUGGGAAUAAAACGUUCCACGUGUGGGAUUUUGUAUGUACCAUAUGAAUAAGGAUAGGCUAACUCCGUGCCAGCAGCCGCGGUAAUACGGAGGAUCCGAGCGUUAUCCGGAUUUAUUGGGUUUAAAGGGAGCGUAGGUGGAUUGUUAAGUCAGUUGUGAAAGUUUGCGGCUCAACCGUAAAAUUGCAGUUGAAACUGGCAGUCUUGAGUACAGUAGAGGUGGGCGGAAUUCGUGGUGUAGCGGUGAAAUGCUUAGAUAUCACGAAGAACUCCGAUUGCGAAGGCAGUUCACUGGACUGCAACUGACACUGAGGCUCGAAAGUGUGGGUAUCAAACAGGAUUAGAUACCCGAGUAGUC